GACGAACGCUGGCGGCGCGCUUAACACAUGCAAGUCGAACGGAAAGGCCUGCUUUCCCUUGUGGAUUGCGGGUACUCGAGUGGCGAACGGGUGAGUAACACGUGAGUUAUCUGCCCCCAACUUGGGUAUAAGCCUGGGAAACUGGGUCUAAUUCCCGAUAGGACUGCAGGGUGGUGCCUGUGGUGGAAAACGAUUUUCUAGUGGUUGGGGAUGAGCUCGCGGCCUAUCAGCUUGUUGGUGGGGUAAUGGCCUACCAAGGCGGCGACGGGUAGCCGGCCUGGGAGGGUGGACGGCCACAUUGGGACUGAGAUACGGCCCAGACUCCUACGGGAGGCAGCAGUGGGGAAUAUUGCACAAUGGGCGGAAGCCUGAUGCAGCGACGCCGCGUGGGGGAUGACGGCCUUCGGGUUGUAAACUCCUUUCGACCGAGAGGAAGCCACCUGGUUGGAAGGGUGGUGACGGUAGUGGUAGAAGAAGCACCGGCUAACUACGUG
Molecule: ribosomal RNA, 494 nt
Filed under: uncultured bacterium
Lineage: Bacteria
Description: partial 16S ribosomal RNA
Rfam family: Bacterial small subunit ribosomal RNA
Source: RNAcentral